AGUUUCUGAUUGGUGAGGAAAUCAGAGAAUGUUUAUGGUUUGGAUCAGUUGUGGAUUGGGGGAGUGGAGCAGAGGAUGUUUAUGGUUAGGACCAGUUUUUGAUUGGUGAGGAAUUCAGAGAAUGUUUAUGGUUUGGAUUAGUUGUGGAUUGGGGGAGUGGAGCAGAGGAUGUUUAUGGUUAGGACCAGUUUUUGAUUGGUGAGGAAUUCAGAGAAUGUUUAUGGUUUGGAUUAGUUGUGGAUUGGGGGAGUGGAGCAGAGGAUGUUUAUGGUUAGGACAAGUUUUUGAUUGGUGAGGAAAUCAGAGAAUGUUUAUGGUUUGGAUCAGUCGUGGAUUAGGGGAGUGGAGCAGAGGAUAUUUAUGGUUAGGCCCAGUCUCUGGGAUUAGAGGGCCAUUUUGUAAUAUCAGACAAUUCUUGAAUUAGGGAUCAGUCUCAUGUGACAGC
Pelobates cultripes (western spadefoot toad) is the source of this 445-nucleotide non-coding RNA. NCBI's taxonomy places the organism in Eukaryota, Metazoa, Chordata, Amphibia, Anura, Pelobatidae. The record is from the annotation of a GenBank genome assembly.